This 154-nucleotide unclassified non-coding RNA is filed under the name uncultured Preussia. RNAcentral's name for it is "partial internal transcribed spacer 2". The record is from RNAcentral. Lineage: Eukaryota; Fungi; Ascomycota; Dothideomycetes; Pleosporales; Sporormiaceae.
AAACCCUCAAGCCCUGCUUGGUGUUGGGUGCCUGUCCCGCCCCCGCGCGUGGACUCACCUCAAAUCCAUUGGCGGCCCCCGCGUCGGCCACGAGCGCAGCAGAAACGCGAACUCGUGAGCCCGCCCGGGCGGCUCCCAAGAAGCUACACACCAU